GGGUCAAACCCACCGUAACACAGAGUUAGACCCCCCCCUCCAGAGAUGAAUGUUGUCGACCGCUUCCUUCUCUAGUUAUACCAACUUUAGUAACGACCGCAGGAUAGAAAUACAGAGAGCCACGCCCUCAACCAAAACGCCACUCUAUAGCCACAAAUAAUGCUCAGAACAGCACCUAACUUCAUCAACAGGACAUAUAGGGUCACAGACAUAGUACUAGACACCAAACAUCUUUUUAACUUUGACUCAUUUCUUUAGCAAAGAGACUAAACACAACUCACCUACUCUCUUCCAGCAGACGCUUGUUUGUAGAGAGACCUCAGGCCAGUCCAUUAUACAGCGGACUACAGCGGGGUGCCACAGCUCAAGGAAGAACAUUUAUGAUCAUUUCUUUAUCAUUUCCUUGUAGUAAUAAUCACCAUAUUAAUCAUUUUACAGACGCGGUAGUUCUUCUGUCUUAGCGUCUCGGUCUGAUUGUAUUUCCAUGAAGAAAUGAUCAUAAAUGUUCUUCCUUGAGCUGCGGCACCCCGCUGUAGUCUGUAAUGGACUGGCCUGAGGUCUCUCUACAAACAAGCGUCUGCUGGAAGAGAGUAGGUGAGUUGUGUUUAGUCUCUUUGCUAAAGAAAUGAGUCAAAGUUAAAAAGAUGUUUGGUGUCUAGUACUAUGUCUGUGACCCUAUAUGUCCUGUUGAUGAAGUUAGCUGCUGUUCU
Molecule: non-coding RNA, 710 nt
Organism: Xyrichtys novacula (pearly razorfish)
Lineage: Eukaryota; Metazoa; Chordata; Actinopteri; Labriformes; Labridae
Source: the annotation of a GenBank genome assembly